AGAAUUGAUCUGGUCAGGAUGAACGCUGGCGGCGUGCCUAACACAUGCAAGUCGAACGAAGCACUUACCGUGAUCCUCGGGUGAACGGUCUGUGACUGAGUGGCGGACGGGUGAGUAACGCGUGGGUAACCUGCCCUGGUACAGGGGGAUAACAGCCAGAAAUGGCUGCUAAUACCGCAUAAGCGCAGGCCGUGGCAUCAUGGCUUGCGGAAAACUCCGGUGGUACAGGAUGGGCCCGCGUCUGAUUAGCUUGUUGGCGGGUAAAGGCCCACCAAGGCGACGAUCAGUAGCCGGUCUGAGAGGAUGAACGGCCACAUUGGAACUGAGACACGGUCCAAACUCCUACGGGAGGCAGCAGUGGGGGAUAUUGCACGAAUGGGGGGAACCCUGAUGCAGCAACGCCCGCGUGAGUGAAGAAGUAUUUCGGUAUGUAAAGCUCUAUCAGCAGGGAAGAUGAUGACGGUACCUGACUAAGAAGCUCCGGCUAAAUACGUGCCAGCCGCUGC
Molecule: ribosomal RNA, 506 nt
Filed under: uncultured bacterium
Lineage: Bacteria
Description: bacterial SSU rRNA
Rfam family: Bacterial small subunit ribosomal RNA
Source: RNAcentral